This 1381-nucleotide ribosomal RNA is filed under the name uncultured bacterium. Its description in RNAcentral is "16S ribosomal RNA". It matches the Rfam family "Bacterial small subunit ribosomal RNA". The record is from RNAcentral.
AGAGUUUGAUCCUGGCUCAGGACGAACGCUGGCGGCGUGCUUAACACAUGCAAGUCGAGCGGGGAUAUUGACUUCGGUUGAUAUUCUAGCGGCGGACGGGUGAGUAACGCGUGAACAAUCUGUCCCAGACAGGGGGAUAACACUUGGAAACAGGUGCUAAUACCGCAUAAGACCACGACCCGGCAUCGGGUUGAGGUAAAAGGAGUAAUCCGGUUUGGGGUGAGUUCGCGUCCGAUUAGCUAGUUGGUGAGGUAACGGCCCACCAAGGCGACGAUCGGUAGCCGACCUGAGAGGGUGAUCGGCCACAUUGGAACUGAGACACGGUCCAAACUCCUACGGGAGGCAGCAGUGGGGAAUAUUGGGCAAUGGGCGAAAGCCUGACCCAGCAACGCCGCGUGAGGGAAGAAGGUUCUCGGAUUGUAAACCUCUGUCCUUGGUGACGAAGGAAGUGACGGUAGCCAAGGAGGAAGCCCCGGCUAACUACGUGCCAGCAGCCGCGGUAAUACGUAGGGGGCAAGCGUUGUCCGGAAUGACUGGGCGUAAAGGGCGUGUAGGCGGCCGAUUAAGUCUGGAGUGAAAGUCCUGCUUUCAAGGUGGGAAUUGCUUUGGAGACUGGUUGGCUUGAGUGCGGAAGAGGUAAGUGGAAUUCCCAGUGUAGCGGUGAAAUGCGUAGAGAUUGGGAGGAACACCAGUGGCGAAGGCGACUUACUGGGCCGUAACUGACGCUGAGGCGCGAAAGCGUGGGGAGCGAACAGGAUUAGAUACACUGGUAGUCCACGCUGUACACGAUGAAUGCUAGGUGUAGGGGAUAUCGACCCCUCCUGAGCCGGAGUACACGCAAUAAGCAUUCCACGUGGGGAGUACGCCCGCAAGGUUGACACUCUAAGGAAUUGACGGGGGCCCGCACAAUCAGCGGAGCAUGUUCUUCAUUGGAUGCAACGCGAAGAACCUUACCAGGUAUAGACAUCGAUAUUAACUUGUCGAUAUAGCAGCUCCCUUCGGGGGAGAGAAGACAGGUGGUGCAUGGUUCUAGUCAGCUCGUGUCGUGAGAUGUUGGGAUAAGUCCCGCAAUGAGCGCAACCAUUAUGAUCAGUAACUUACGGGAAAGCCGAGGAAUCUGAUCAGAGUGCCGGGGACAACUCAGGAGGAAGGUGGGGAGGACGUCAAAUCAUCAUGCCCCUUAUGACUCUGGGUUACACACGUGCUACAAUGGUGAGUACAAAGAGGAGCGAGCCCACGAGGGUAAGCGGAUUUCACCCAAGUCAUCUCCCUUCGGAUUAGUGGGCUACAACCCGCCCACAUGAAGUUGGAUUUGCUAGUAAUCAAGUAUCCGAAUGUCUCGCAGAAUACGUUCACCGGGCCUUGUACACGCCGCCCGUCA